UGGAUCCAGACUUUGAUUCUGGCUCAGGACGAACGCUGGCGGCGUGCUUAACACAUGCAAGUCGAACGGAGAACUUAUUUCGGUAAGUUCUUAGUGGCGAACGGGUGAGUAACGCGUGGGCAACCUGCCCUCCAGUUGGGGACAACAUUCCGAAAGGGAUGCUAAUACCGAAUGUGCUCCCUCCUCCGCAUGGAGGAGGGAGGAAAGAUGGCCUCUGCUUGCAAGCUAUCGCUGGAAGAUGGGCCCGCUUCUGAUUAGCUAGUUGGUGGGGUAACGGCUCACCAAGGCGAUGAUCAGUAGCCGGUCUGAGAGGAUGAACGGCCACAUUGGGACUGAGACACGGCCCAAACUCCUACGGGAGGCAGCAGUGGGGAAUCUUCCGCAAUGGACGAAAGUCUGACGGAGCAACGCCGCGUGAGUGAUGAAGGUCUUCGGAUUGUAAAACUCUGUUGUUAGGGACGAAAGCACCGUGUUCGAACAGGUCAUGGUGUUGACGGUACCUAACGAGGAAGCCACGGCUAACUACGUGCCAGCAGCCGCGGUAAUACGUAGGUGGCAAGCGUUGUCCGGAAUUAUUGGGCGUAAAGAGCAUGUAGGCGGGCUUUUAAGUCUGACGUGAAAAUGCGGGGCUUAACCCCGUAUGGCGUUGGAUACUGGAAGUCUUGAGUGCAGGAGAGGAAAGGGGAAUUCCCAGUGUAGCGGUGAAAUGCGUAGAUAUUGGGAGGAACACCAGUGGCGAAGGCGCCUUUCUGGACUGUGUCUGACGCUGAGAUGCGAAAGCCAGGGUAGCAAACGGGAUUAGAUACCCCGGUAGUCCUGGCCGUAAACGAUGGAUACUAGGAGUAGGAGGUAUCGACCCCUUCUGUGCCGGAGUUAACGCAUAAGUAUCCCGCCUGGGGACUACGAUCGCAAGAUU
Molecule: ribosomal RNA, 916 nt
Filed under: uncultured Bacillota bacterium
Lineage: Bacteria; Bacillati; Bacillota
Description: bacterial SSU rRNA
Rfam family: Bacterial small subunit ribosomal RNA
Source: RNAcentral